GACGAACGCUGGCGGCGUGCUUAACACAUGCAAGUCGAACGGAAAGGCCCUGCUUUUGUGGGGUGCUCGAGUGGCGAACGGUUUAGUAACACGUGAGUAACCUGCCCUUGACUUUGGGAUAACUUCAGGAAACUGGGGCUAAUACCGGAUAGGAGCUCCUGCUGCAUGGUGGGGGUUGGAAAGUUUCGGCGGUUGGGGAUGGACUCGCGGCUUAUCAGCUUGUUGGUGGGGUAGUGGCUUACCAAGGCUUUGACGGGUAGCCGGCCUGAGAGGGUGACCGGCCACAUUGGGACUGAGAUACGGCCCAGACUCCUACGGGAGGCAGCAGUGGGGAAUAUUGCACAAUGGGCGGAAGCCUGAUGCAGCAACGCCGCGUGCGGGAUGACGGCCUUCGGGUUGUAAACCGCUUUCGCCUGUGACGAAGCGUGAGUGACGGUAAUGGGUAAAGAAGCACCGGCUAACUACGUGCCAGCAGCCGCGGUGAUACGUAGGGUGCGAGCGUUGUCCGGAUUUAUUGGGCGUAAAGGGCUCGUAGGUGGUUGAUCGCGUCGGAAGUGUAAUCUUGGGGCUUAACCCUGAGCGUGCUUUCGAUACGGGUUGACUUGAGGAAGGUAGGGGAGAAUGGAAUUCCUGGUGGAGCGGUGGAAUGCGCAGAUAUCAGGAGGAACACCAGUGGCGAAGGCGGUUCUCUGGGCCUUUCCUGACGCUGAGGAGCGAAAGCGUGGGGAGCGAACAGGCUUAGAUACCCUGGUAGUCCACGCUGUAAACGGUGGGUACUAGGUGUGGGGUCCAUUCCACGGGUUCCGUGCCGUAGCUAACGCUUUAAGUACCCCGCCUGGGGAGUACGGCCGCAAGGCUAAAACUCAAAGGAAUUGACGGGGCCCCGCACAAGCGGCGGAGCAUGCGGAUUAAUUCGAUGCAACCCGUAGAACCUUACCCGGGUUUGACAUGGAUCGGGAGUGCUCAGAGAUGGGUGUGCCUCUUUUGGGGUCGGUUCACAGGUGGUGCAUGCCUGUCGUCAGCUCGUGUCGUGAGAUGUUGGGUUAAGUCCCGCAACGAGCGCAACCCUUGUUCACUGUUGCCAGCACGUUAUGGUGGGGACUCAGUGGAGACCGCCGGGGUCAACUCGGAGGAAGGUGGGGAUGACGUCAAGUCCUCAUGCCCCUUAUGUCCAGGGCUUCACGCAUGCUACAAUGGCUGGUACAGAGAGUGGCGAGCCUGUGAGGGUGAGCGAAUCUCGGAAAGCCGGUCUCAGUUCGGAUUGGGGUCCGCAACUCGACCUCAUGAAGUCGGAGUCGCUAGUAAUCGCAGAUCAGCAACGCUGCGGUGAAUACGUUCCCGGG
This 1343-nucleotide ribosomal RNA is filed under the name uncultured bacterium. RNAcentral's name for it is "16S ribosomal RNA". It matches the Rfam family "Bacterial small subunit ribosomal RNA", at positions 28 to 1378 of the family's 1533-position model. The record is from RNAcentral.